GGGCGAGUGGCGAAGUGGCUAACGCUGUGGACUGCAAAUCCACCAUUCGUCGGUUCAAUUCCGACCUCGCCCUCCA
RNAcentral lists this transfer RNA (76 nucleotides) under Bacillota bacterium. RNAcentral's name for it is "tRNA-Cys". It matches the Rfam family "tRNA". From Rfam's summary of the family: Transfer RNA (tRNA) molecules are approximately 80 nucleotides in length. Their secondary structure includes four short double-helical elements and three loops (D, anti-codon, and T loops). Further hydrogen bonds mediate the characteristic L-shaped molecular structure. tRNAs have two regions of fundamental functional importance: the anti-codon, which is responsible for specific mRNA codon recognition, and the 3' end, to which the tRNAs corresponding amino acid is attached (by aminoacyl-tRNA synthetases). tRNAs cope with the degeneracy of the genetic code in two manners: having more than one tRNA (with a specific anti-codon) for a particular amino acid; and 'wobble' base-pairing, i.e. permitting non-standard base-pairing at the 3rd anti-codon position. RNAcentral also lists the same sequence under 1 other name. Lineage: Bacteria; Bacillati; Bacillota. The record is from RNAcentral.